Molecule: ribosomal RNA, 169 nt
Filed under: Soleichthys heterorhinos (black-tip sole)
Lineage: Eukaryota; Metazoa; Chordata; Actinopteri; Pleuronectiformes; Soleidae
Description: partial 12S rRNA
Source: RNAcentral
CACCGCGGUUAAACGAGGAGCUCAAGUUGACAAACAACGGCACAAAGCGUGGUUAGAGGAUAAAAUAAACUAAAGCCGAACCACUUCAAGGCCGUAAAACGCAUUCGAAAACGUGAAGCUCAACAACGAAAGUGGCUUUACCCACCCCGAACCCACGAAAGCUAAGGAA